GGUCUCCGUUGGUGAACCAGCGGAGGGAUCAUUACUGAGUUUACGCUCUACAACCCUUUGUGAACAUACCUAUAACUGUUGCUUCGGCGGGUAGGGUCUCCGUGACCCUCCCGGCCUCCCGCCCCCGGGCGGGUCGGCGCCCGCCGGAGGAUAACCAAACUCUGAUUUAACGACGUUUCUUCUGAGUGGUACAAGCAAAUAAUCAAAACUUUUAACAACGGAUCUCUUGGUUCUGGCAUCGAUGAAGAACGCAGCGAAAUGCGAUAAGUAAUGUGAAUUGCAGAAUUCAGUGAAUCAUCGAAUCUUUGAACGCACAUUGCGCCCGCCAGCAUUCUGGCGGGCAUGCCUGUUCGAGCGUCAUUUCAACCCUCAAGCUCUGCUUGGUGUUGGGGCCCUACAGCUGAUGUAGGCCCUCAAAGGUAGUGGCGGACCCUCCCGGAGCCUCCUUUGCGUAGUAACUUUACGUCUCGCACUGGGAUCCGGAGGGACUCUUGCCGUAAAACCCCCCAAUUUUCCAAAGGUUGACCUCGGAUCAGGUAGGAAUACCCGCUGAACUUAAGCA
RNAcentral lists this ribosomal RNA (562 nucleotides) under Colletotrichum tropicale. Its description in RNAcentral is "eukaryotic LSU rRNA". The stretch from base 207 to 360 matches the Rfam family "5.8S ribosomal RNA". The record is from RNAcentral. Lineage: Eukaryota; Fungi; Ascomycota; Sordariomycetes; Glomerellales; Glomerellaceae.